CGCAGUGUAGCAAUACAUGGGCGGCGACCGGCAAACGGGUGCGGAACACGUACGCAAUCUACCCAAAACUGAUGAAUAGCCCUCCGAAAGGAGGAUUAAUACAUCGUAACUUAAGGAAGUGGCAUCACUAUCUUAAUAUAGCUCCGGCGGUUUUGGAUGAGCGUGCGCCUGAUUAGGUAGUUGGCGGGGUAACGGCCCACCAAGCCUGCGAUCAGUAACUGGUGUGAGAGCACGACCAGUCACACGGGCACUGAGACACGGGCCCGACUCCUACGGGAGGCAGCAGUAAGGAAUAUUGGUCAAUGGACGCAAGUCUGAACCAGCCAUGCCGCGUGAAGGAUGAAGGUCCUCUGGAUUGUAAACUUCUUUUAUAUGGGACGAAACCUCUUAUUCUUAAGAGACUGACGGUACCAUAGGAAUAAGCACCGGCUAACUCCGUGCCAGCAGCCGCGGUAAUACGGAGGGUGCAAGCGUUAUCCGGAUUCACUGGGUUUAAAGGGAGCGUAGGAGGGCAGGUAAGUCAGUGGUGAAAUCUUCGAGCUUAACUCGGAAACUGCCGUUGAUACUAUCUGUCUUGAAUACCGUGGAGAUGAGCGGAAUAUGUCAUGUAGCGGUGAAAUGCUUAGAUAUGACAUAGAACACCAAUUGCGAAGGCAGCUCGUUACACGAAUAUUGACUCUGAGGCUCGAAAGCGUGGGGAUCAAACAGGAUUAGAUACCCUGGUAGUCCACGCCCUAAACGAUGGAUACUCGACAUACGCGAUACACUGUGUGUGUCUGAGCGAAAGCAUUAAGUAU
RNAcentral lists this ribosomal RNA (797 nucleotides) under uncultured Flavobacteriia bacterium. Its description in RNAcentral is "bacterial SSU rRNA". It matches the Rfam family "Bacterial small subunit ribosomal RNA", at positions 70 to 867 of the family's 1533-position model. The record is from RNAcentral. Lineage: Bacteria; Pseudomonadati; Bacteroidota; Flavobacteriia.